UACGUAGGGGGCGAGCGUUGUCCGGAUUUAUUGGGCGUAAAGAGCGUGUAGGCGGCUUGGUAGGUCUGCUGUGAAAACUCGAGGCUCAACCUCGAGAUGUCGGCUGAAACCAUCUGGCUAGAGUCCGGAAGAGGAGAAUGGAAUUCCCGGUGUAGCGGUGAAAUGCGCAGAUAUCGGGAGGAACAUCAGUGGCGAAGGCGGCCCUCUGGUCCAGUACUGACACUCAAGUGCGAAAGCGUGGGGAGCAAACAGG
RNAcentral lists this ribosomal RNA (253 nucleotides) under uncultured bacterium. RNAcentral's name for it is "partial 16S ribosomal RNA". It matches the Rfam family "Bacterial small subunit ribosomal RNA", at positions 524 to 776 of the family's 1533-position model. The record is from RNAcentral.